GUACAAGCAGUAGGAGCCCUUCGGGGUGACUGCGUACCUUUUGUAUAAUGGGUCAGCGACUUACUGUCAGUGGCAAGCUUAACCGUAUAGGGGAGGCGUAGCGAAAGCGAGUCUUAAUAGGGCGUUUUAGUCGCUGGGAGUAGACCCGAAACCGGGCGAUCUAGCCAUGGGCAGGGUGAAGGUUAGGUAACACUGACUGGAGGCCCGAACCGGGAUCUGUUGAAAAAGAUUCGGAUGACCUGUGGUUAGGAGUGAAAGGCUAAUCAAGCUCGGAGAUAGCUGGUUCUCCUCGAAAGCUAUUUAGGUAGCGCCUCGGACGAAUACCACUGGGGGUAGAGCACUGUUAAGGCUAGGGGGUCAUCGCGACUUACCAACCCUUUGCAAACUCCGAAUACCAGUGAGUACUAUCCGGGAGGCACACGGCGGUGCUAACGUCCGUCGUGAAAAGGGAAACAACCCAGACCGCCAGCUAAGGUCCCCAAUCAUGGCUAAGUGGAAACGAUGUGGAAGGCAUAGACAGCUAGGAGGUUGGCUUAGAAGCAGCCAUCCUUAAAGAAAG
RNAcentral lists this ribosomal RNA (559 nucleotides) under uncultured bacterium. RNAcentral's name for it is "bacterial LSU rRNA". It matches the Rfam family "Bacterial large subunit ribosomal RNA", at positions 566 to 1132 of the family's 2925-position model. The record is from RNAcentral.